UGGCUCAGGAUGAACGCUAGCUACAGGCUUAACACAUGCAAGUCGAGGGGCAGCAUUGGGAUAGCUGCUAUUCAGAUGGCGACCGGCGCACGGGUGAGUAACGCGUAUCCAACCUCCUGCCAGUAGGGAACAGCCCGGCGAAAGUCGGAUUAAUGCCCUAUGUUCUUCAAUGCGGACAUCUAAGUUGAAGGAAAGAUUCAUCGCUGGCAGAUGGGGAUGCGUCCGAUUAGCUUGCCGGCGGGGUAACGGCCCACCGGGGCGACGAUCGGUAGGGGUUCUGAGAGGAAGGUCCCCCACACUGGUACUGAGACACGGACCAGACUCCUACGGGAGGCAGCAGUGAGGAAUAUUGGUCAAUGGGCGUAAGCCUGAACCAGCCAAGUAGCGUGCAAGGAUGACGGCCCUACGGGUCGUAAACUGCUUUUAUGCGGGGAUAAAGUGCGGCACGUGUGCCGCUUUGCAGGUACCGCAUGAAUAAGGACCGGCUAAUUCCGUGCCAGCAGCCGC
This 507-nucleotide ribosomal RNA is filed under the name uncultured bacterium. RNAcentral describes it as "bacterial SSU rRNA". It matches the Rfam family "Bacterial small subunit ribosomal RNA", at positions 20 to 518 of the family's 1533-position model. The record is from RNAcentral.